This 394-nucleotide ribosomal RNA is filed under the name uncultured Anaeromyxobacter sp. RNAcentral's name for it is "bacterial SSU rRNA". It matches the Rfam family "Bacterial small subunit ribosomal RNA", at positions 67 to 447 of the family's 1533-position model. Lineage: Bacteria; Pseudomonadati; Myxococcota; Myxococcia; Myxococcales; Anaeromyxobacteraceae. The record is from RNAcentral.
CGAGAAAGCCCGCAAGGGUGAGUACAGCGGCGCACGGGUGCGUAACACGUGGGUAAUCUGCCCUGGAGCCCGGAAUAACUCUCCGAGAGGAGAGCUAAUGCCGGAUGAGCCCACGGGGUCUUAGGACCCUGAGGGAAAAGGUGGCCUCUGUAUACAAGCUAUCACUUCAGGAUGAGCCCGCGGCCCAUCAGCUAGUUGGCGGGGUAAUGGCCCACCAAGGCUACGACGGGUAGCUGGUCUGAGAGGACGAUCAGCCACACUGGAACUGAGACACGGUCCAGACUCCUACGGGAGGCAGCAGUGGGGAAUCUUGCGCAAUGGGCGAAAGCCUGACGCAGCAACGCCGCGUGUGUGAUGAAGGUCUUCGGAUCGUAAAGCACUGUCGCGAGGGACG